This 581-nucleotide small RNA is filed under the name Pan troglodytes (chimpanzee). RNAcentral describes it as "processed transcript". Lineage: Eukaryota; Metazoa; Chordata; Mammalia; Primates; Hominidae. The record is from RNAcentral.
AAUUGAAGGCGGUUGAUGGUGAAGCCAUUCUGAGUUUAUGUGUUGACUCCGGUUUAAGUGACACUUCUCCAGAUGAAGGGUUAAUAGAGGACUUGACUAUAGAAGACAAAGCUGUGGAGCAACUGGCAGAAGGAUUGCUUUCUCAUUAUUUGCCAGAUCUGCAGAGAUCAAAACAAGCCCUCCAGGAACUCACUUUGCUGAGGCUAAACACUAUCAUGCCAAGUUGGUGAAUAUAAGAAAAGAGAUGCUGAUGCUUCAUGAAAAAACAUCAAAGUUAAAAAAAAGAGCACUUAAACUGCAGCAGAAGAGGCAAAAAGAAGAGUUGGAAAGGGAGCAGCAACGAGAGAAGGAGUUUGAAAGAGAAAAGCAGUUAACUGCCAGACCAGCCAAAAGGAUGUGAAAAGUUGUGUUUGUGUGUUUUCUUCUCCUGUCCCAUAUUUGGGUUAUGAUGACUCAAGUGUAGACUGAAGUUGAGGUAGUGCCUUACGCCAUUAUGUCAUAUGUUGAAAUCCUUAUUCCGGUAUUACUGUGUCUCCAUGCCUUUUUUCCAAGUAGCAGACGUCAUGUUGCUUGGUUUUUGA